AAUCCAAGGGUUCUUUAAAACCUACUCCGAAUUUGCACCUCGGGCUCUCUGGAUU
This 55-nucleotide transfer RNA is filed under the name Kinyongia fischeri (Fischer's chameleon). RNAcentral's name for it is "partial transfer RNA-Cys". Lineage: Eukaryota; Metazoa; Chordata; Lepidosauria; Squamata; Chamaeleonidae. The record is from RNAcentral.